Molecule: ribosomal RNA, 485 nt
Filed under: uncultured bacterium
Lineage: Bacteria
Description: partial 16S ribosomal RNA
Rfam family: Bacterial small subunit ribosomal RNA
Source: RNAcentral
ACGAACGCUGGCGGCGUGCUUAACACAUGCAAGUCGAACGCUGAAGACCUGGCUUUUGUUGGGUUGGAUGAGUGGCGAACGGGUGAGUAACACGUGAGUAACCUGCCCUCUUCUUUGGGAUAACGCCCGGAAACGGGUGCUAAUACUGGAUAUUCACUGAUCUUCGCAUGGGGGUUGGUGGAAAGGUUUGUUCUGGUGGGGGAUGGGCUCGCGGCCUAUCAGCUUGUUGGUGGGGUGAUGGCCUACCAAGGCUUUGACGGGUAGCCGGCCUGAGAGGGUGACCGGUCACAUUGGGACUGAGAUACGGCCCAGACUCCUACGGGAGGCAGCAGUGGGGAAUAUAGCACAAUGGGCGAAAGCCUGAUGCAGCGACGCCGCGUGAGGGAUGGAGGCCUUCGGGUUGUAAACCUCUUUCGCUCAUGGUCAAGCCGCAACUGUGGGUUGUGGUGAGGGUAGUGGGUAAAGAAGCGCCGGCUAACUACGUG